This 626-nucleotide ribosomal RNA is filed under the name uncultured bacterium. RNAcentral's name for it is "bacterial SSU rRNA". The stretch from base 1 to 538 matches the Rfam family "Bacterial small subunit ribosomal RNA", at positions 338 to 873 of the family's 1533-position model. The record is from RNAcentral.
CCUACGGGAGGCAGCAGUGGGGAAUAUUGGACAAUGGGCGAAAGCCUGAUCCAGCAAUUCCGCGUGUGUGAAGAAGGCCUUCGGGUUGUAAAGCACUUUAGUUGGGGAAGAAACAGCUUGGCCACACCAAGCCUUGACGGUACCCAAAGAAUAAGCACCGGCUAACUCUGUGCCAGCAGCCGCGGUAAUACAGAGGGUGCAAGCGUUAAUCGGAUUUACUGGGCGUAAAGGGUGCGUAGGUGGUUUUGUAAGUCGGAUGUGAAAGCCUGGGGCUCAACCUCAGAAUUGCACUCGAUACUGCAAGACUAGAGUUCGGUAGAGGGCGGCGGAAUUCCCGGGUGUAGCGAUGAAAUGCGUAGAUAUCGGGAGGAACAUCAAUGGCGAAGGCAGCCGCCUGGGCCUGAACUGACACUGAGGCACGAAAGCGUGGGUAGCAAACAGGAUUAGAUACCCUGGUAGUCCACGCUGUAAACGAUGAGAACUUGACGUUGGUUCGUUUUACGAAUCGGUGUCGCNGNACGCGAGUAGUUCGUCCGCCGUGGGAGGUACGGCCGGCGUAAGGUAGUAACGUUACGAAGUAAGUUAGACGGCGNGAGAGNGCCGACGGACGACGACGAGGGAGGAGG